Molecule: transfer RNA, 69 nt
Filed under: Garra kempi
Lineage: Eukaryota; Metazoa; Chordata; Actinopteri; Cypriniformes; Cyprinidae
Also listed under: 1 other name
Description: tRNA-Pro
Rfam family: tRNA
About the family: Transfer RNA (tRNA) molecules are approximately 80 nucleotides in length. Their secondary structure includes four short double-helical elements and three loops (D, anti-codon, and T loops).
Source: RNAcentral
CAGAGAAUAGUUUAAUAAAAAUGUUGGCUUUGGGCGUCAAUGAUGGGAGUUUAAAUCUCUCUUUUCUGG